GCUUUUUACAGAGGAGGUUGCACAGAUUAUGUUCCGGUUCCACGAAGUUAAGCGCCAGAAAUAUCGCUCUUAGAGAAUUGCUUAUACUCUCAGCCCCCCAGUGGUGAUAUCCAAUUCCCUCGGAUUCUUAGGUCAGUCACCACGCCCGUAUCGGAGAUCCAGCCUAUCCGAAUUAUGGUUAAAGUCCCAGCGUUUUUAGUCAGAGGGAAUCUGCAGCUCACUGUAGAUGCCUUGAACUGAAGACUGAGUUAUUUGGAGUGUAGAAUGUGUGGGGUAGCGGUGAAUGCAUAGAUAUUCACACAGAAUGCCAUUGCGGAAGGCAGAUCACUAACAAUUACUGACGCUCCAGGACGAAAGCGUGGGUAGCGAUCAGGAUUAGAUACCCUGGUAGUCACGCCGUAACGAUGGAUACUAGCUGUAUGUCUACUUCAGGUAGAUGUGGGCAAGCGAAAGUGAUAAGUAUCCCACCUGGGAGUACGAUUGCAAGAUUGAAACUCAAAGGAAUUGACGGGGGCCCGCACAAGCGGUGGAGCAUGUGGUUUAAUUCGAUGAUACGCGAGGAACCUUACCAGGGCUUAAAUGUAACGGGACAGGUCUAGAGAUAGACCCUUCUUCGGACUCAUUACAAGGUGCUGCAUGGUUGUCGUCAGCUCGUGCCGUGAGGUGUCAGGUUAAGUCCUAUAACGAGCGCAACCCCCAUCGUUAGUUGCCAACGAGUAAUGUCGGGAACUCUAACGAAACUGCCGGUGCAAACCGUGAGGAAGGUGGGGAUGACGUCAAAUCAUCACGGCCCUUACGUCCUGGGCUACACACGUGCUACAAUGGUCGGUACAGAGAGCAGCCACUUCGCGAGAAGGAGCAAAUCUACAAAACCGAUCUCAGUUCGGAUCGGAGUCUGCAACUCGACUCCGUGAAGCUGGAAUCGCUAGUAAUCGGAUAUCAGCCAUGAUCCGGUGAAUACGUUCCCGGGCCUUGUACACACCGCCCGUCAAGCCAUGGAAGUUGGGAGUGCCUGAAGUCGGUAACCGUAAGGAGCCGCCUAGGGUAAAACUAAUGACUGGGGCUAAGUCGUAACAAGGUAA
RNAcentral lists this ribosomal RNA (1082 nucleotides) under uncultured bacterium. RNAcentral describes it as "bacterial SSU rRNA". It matches the Rfam family "Bacterial small subunit ribosomal RNA". The record is from RNAcentral.